RNAcentral lists this ribosomal RNA (375 nucleotides) under uncultured bacterium. Its description in RNAcentral is "bacterial SSU rRNA". It matches the Rfam family "Bacterial small subunit ribosomal RNA", at positions 359 to 759 of the family's 1533-position model. The record is from RNAcentral.
AUCUUGACGUGGGCGCAGCCUGACCGCCUGCCGCGUGAGUGACGAAGGUCUUCGGAUUGUAAAGCUCUUUUGCCAGGGACGAUAAUGACGGUACCUGGAGAAUAAGCCCCGGCUAACUUCGUGCCAGCAGCCGCGGUAAUACGAAGGGGGCUAGCGUUGUUCGGAAUUACUGGGCGUAAAGCGCACGUAGGCGGAUUUAUAAGUCAGGGGUGAAAUCCCGGGGCUCAACCUCGGAACUGCCUUUGAUACUGUAAGUCUUGAGUCCGAUAGAGGUGAGUGGAAUUCCUAGUGUAGAGGUGAAAUUCGUAGAUAUUAGGAAGAACACCAGUGGCGAAGGCGGCUCACUGGAUCGGUACUGACGCUGAGGUGCGAAAG